CCCCUUUGCAGUGACAGAAGCCA
RNAcentral lists this non-coding RNA (23 nucleotides) under Cricetulus griseus (Chinese hamster). The record is from RNAcentral. Lineage: Eukaryota; Metazoa; Chordata; Mammalia; Rodentia; Cricetidae.